AGAAAGCCCCGGCUAACUACGUGCCAGCAGCCGCGGUAAUACGUAGGGGGCGAGCGUUGUCCGAAUUUACUGGGCGUAAAGCGCGUGUAGGCGGUUCUUUAAGUCAGGUGUGAAAUCCCGUGGCUCAACCACGGAACUGCAUUUGAAACUGAAGGGCUUGAGUGUGGGAGAGGAAAGUGGAAUUCCUGGUGUAGCGGUGAGAUGCGUAGAUAUCAGGAGGAACACCCGUGGCGAAGGCGGCUUUCUGGCCCACCACUGACGCUGAGACGCGAAAGCUAGGGGAGCGAACGGGAUUAGAUACCCCGGUAGUCCUAGCCGUAAACGAUGGAUACUAGGUGUUAGAGGUAUCGACCCCUCUAGUGCCGUAGCUAACGCA
Molecule: ribosomal RNA, 376 nt
Filed under: uncultured bacterium
Lineage: Bacteria
Description: bacterial SSU rRNA
Rfam family: Bacterial small subunit ribosomal RNA
Source: RNAcentral